UUGUCGACUAUAUAGUAUCAAAUUGAAAUCUAAAAUGUUUUAUUAAUUUGCUAUUAUGCCGAAAAAAUAGUAGCAUACUAUGAAUUUGAUUAUUCUAUUAAUUUGCUGUAUUAUUCAAAUAAAAAAUGUUUUAUUGGGGUGAUACGAUUUAUAUAAUGUAGUUGGGAACUUCAAGAAGUUUUGCGUAUGGAAACGUCAAUAGUACUAUAAUUAUUGUACAGAACCAAUAAUAGUACUGUGAUUAUUCUAGAGACAUUUAGUUGUAUAUAUCCAAAUGAAGUCCAUAUUAGCAAUAUAUACAUUGAAUGACAAUAAAAGCUCAGCUCGUACCAUUUCGAACAUGAAGAGACCAUUUUAUCCUGGCGUGAUAACGAAAGACUCUAUUUCAUACUUUGUCGCGUUGCAGGGAGUAGAAAGCGUGUCAGAUGAUAGAGUGGUAUAGAUUGUCAGCUGGAAGGUUUCUCCUCCACUCGUUUCUCUUCCAUUCUUUUUUAACAUUUUUUUUUCACAUUCUUUUUCUUUCUACAAUUUUUCUCUGUGAAAAAAUUUCAUUCUCUCAUCUUUUUCAUAAUAUAAUUUUAGUUUGAGAUAAAAUUUUCAUCUCUGAAAAAGCUUGAUUUUGUAUCGUUUGAUGUAACAAUAACUUAGCAUGUUAUAAACAUAAAUGAUUAAUUAUUUAAUUCUGUAGUAUUUGCUGAAAAAGCGUAAAUCUAGGAUAGUAAACUUCUGGGAAUGAAAACUUGAUAACUAUUUUUUCCGGGUUUAUGAUGAACCACACUAGAACUUAUGAAUGAAACUGACCAUCAAAUACUUUACAAGUUAUUAGCGAGUUAACAGAGUUUUAACAUGUUACAAAUUUGUUAGCGAGUAAAUAAAUUUUUUAACAUGCUACAAACUUUGUUAUCAAGUUAUGUUUAUUUAUAACACGCUAAACAAGUCAGUAGCUUAACAAUAUACUAUAUAAUUUUGUAUUAUUUUUAAUAUAACGCAUUAUUUAACGGUUACACAUAAAGUUAACUAACUAAUAUUAAAGUUAACGAGUAAAAUAAAAAGAACUUAGCAUGUUAUAAAUAAGUUAGCAUGUUAACAAUAAAAAUAGCGUAUAAGUACAUAUGUUUACUUUUACGUAAGUAGUUAACCUGGUAACAUAAAUCACUUAAAAUCAGAAAAAUAUAGUCCUGUCGACCUUCAUAGGUAUACAUGUAGAGUUUUCUUUAAGGUUUAAGUCGGCUCUGCCUUUUGAUUAUACUCCGCCACGGCAUCUUUUUAAUCGGCUCUGCCCAAGUUCUUGCUCUGUUCCUAGAAACAAAAUCAGAACCUCAUUCAUCAUCAGAUGAAAGCAAUCAAAAUCUAUACGCUGUCGGUUGAGAAGAUCAUCGUUGCGGUGGCAAUACAUGUAACAAGAAUUUUAGGUGAUUAAUAAAGGGAUGGUGAAAAUCUCGGCUAAUGAUUUAAAAUCGGAGAAAAAAAGAAAAAAAUGUAGCUGGAGAAGAAAAAAAUCAGAGAGAAGAAAGAGAGUUAUGAAAACACAUACAGACGUGUUCUCGGGUUUAAGCCCACAUGUCUGACACAUACUGGCACAACUAUUAGGAGGUGGAGUAGGCUGUAUAGGGUUAAAAUUGGUAUGGUUUAACUGAUUAGAGAAGCAAUGGCAAUCUCUUAAUUAUUGACCAAAUAAGGGCACAGAGGCCAAUUAUCUCAUUAUUCUAAUGUAGUGUAGGAGGUGAUGGUUGGCAAAAUAGUCAUUAAACGUUAAUCCGAUGUGGAAAUAUAUUAAAAAGUAUUUUUUAUUAAAAAAUAUUAUUGAAAUAUAAUUUAAAAUUAAUUUAUUUAAUUAUAAAUAGAUAUAAUAAAAAUUCAACUGACUAUACAGUUUUUUAUAAAAUUAAAAUUAACUAUAUUUGUGCAAACUUCAUCUAUUAUAAAACAACAAAAAUUAUCUAGAGAGAAUAUAUGUUAGUUAUAAAUGUAAACAUCAUACAUUAACUAAGAUUUCAUGUGCACUAUUUCCACGGUGAAAAAAAAAUUCAUUAACUUUUCUUUUUGUAAUUUUUUGUUGGCUAUCUUUAUACUCUAAUUUUUUCUAUGAACCAAUUUAACAAAAUAAAAUGUUAAUAAUAUAUUUUAUUUUGCGUGUUAUUUUGAAAAAUACUUUAUAAAGUAAAUUACCAAAAAUAAUACUUUCUAUUGAAAUAUAAACACAUAAUUAUACAUCCUAAGAGUAUCUCUAAAAACCCUCUUAUAACUUCAAAUAUAAAGGUUUGUGCAUUCCAAAAACAACCUUAAAACCUUAAUUAUAAGUUUUUGUAUAGUGAAACCUCAAAUAUAAAGUUUCACUGUACAAAACCUUAUAUUUAAAGUUCCUUAUUUUCUAGUCUUUUUACUUUUGUAACUUUAAAAUAAUGUUAUUAACUUUCUUGUUUAAUCAUUUUAGUCAUUUUUAAUACAAAUUAUUUUAUUAACACUACAAAAAAUGUUAUAUAAAAAUAGUAUUACAUCAAACAAAUAAAAAAUACAAAAAAUUGAAUACAAGAUACAAAAUAAAAAGUUCAUUUAUCAUUUCGAAAUGCUUUAAUUGAUCAUAUAUGUGAUCAUUAUGAAAGUCAUUAUACGGAAUAAUUAUGUAACUUAUUUAAAUUUAAUGAAUUAGUUUGUAUGCUUUCACAUGGAAUAUUUUAAUACAAUAUUUUAUCUAUUAGUUUUGUUUAUGAUACUUUUGUUGUAUACUUUAUAGUUAUUAUAAAAGAUUUAUGCUUUUAGUUAAGUUUUGUUAAAUAUAAGGACUGUUAUGUAAAAUAUAAAAGUUUUAAGGUUUAAUAUAAAGUUUUGUUUUUAGAGAGAAACAUCCUCGAACCUUAUAUUUAAAGUUUUACCAAACAUUAAAAUAAAAGGGCUUUUGGAGAUGCUUUAAAUCAUGCAUGAAAGUGUUUAUGAAAAAAUAUUAUGGAAAAAAUAUCGCAGACGUAGAUAGAGAGAAAGAGUUCAUAAAAUUAAAACUGUAAAUGAAAGUUUUCCAUUUAUCUUAGUUCCAAAUUAAAUUACAUCGAUCAGAAUUUCAUGCAGUCGCAUUCAAAUUAAAGUGUUUAGGGAAAAAUAUUAAGGAAAAAUACUGCAGACGUAGAUAGAGAAAAAGAGUUCAUAAAAUUAAAACUGUAAAUAAAAGUUUUCCAUUUAUCUUAGUUCCAAAUUAAAUUACAUCGAUCAGAGUUUCAUGCAGUCGCAUUCAAAAAUAUUCAUUUCACUUUGCAUUAAGCUGAUCCACCUGAUUCUACUAGUUAUGCCAGUUGAUGUAAGGAAAAAUGAUUAUUGAUUACACGAAGUAUUGACUAUCACAUAGCUAACCAUGCAAAUUAAAUUAAUAUAUACGUAGCUACACGAAAUAUAUAUUAUGCAUGACAACAUCCUUCAUUUUAAUGAUGUUAUGUAGUUAACUUCACGAGUUUAAUUUCGUUCAUCCAAAAUUGAUGUGGAAGUGAAAUACCGUUUAAAUAUCCCAUCUUUAUCAAUAAAAUAUGGUAUACAUGACCGUAAUUUAACUAAAUAUAAAAGUUAUAUAAGAUAUUAUUUAACUUUGUUUUUAAUUAUUUUAAUCUGUUUUGUUAUUAACUCUUAAUAAAAAAAUUUGUAAUUUGUUUGAUUAAUUGUGUGGUAUAUACUUAUUUGAUCAAUUUUUUAUUAUAAAAGUUAUUUCAUGUCAAUUUACUAAUUUUAACAUUUUAUCUGUUUAAUAUAAAAUCAAUUAAAUUAAUGAGUUAAUUUAUUUAUAUUUUCACAAAAAAUUGCAUCCAUUUAAAAAUGUAUCAAAUAAGUAUAUAUCACACAAUUAAUCAAACGAAUUACAUAAAUUUUAUUAAAAUUCCAUAAGAAAACAGAUUAAAAUAAUUAAAAAAUAAAAUUACAUAAUAUCUUAUAUAACUUUCAGAUUUGAUAUAAAUAAAAUAAUAUUAUUAUAUAUUUUUCAGAAGCACUCAAAUAAAAAUGUUAAAACACUAAUUAUCAAAAAAAUGUUAAAACAUAUUGAUUUUGUAAACUAUAUUUUGUUAAAAAUAUUCUUACGCUUUUAAAACGUGGAUUAAAAUAUCAUUUAGUUAAGUUACGGCCGGGUCAGUCAUAUUCUUAUUUUUUUUUUUGGUAAACAUGUUAAAUUGUAUUACCAUUUUCGAGUUUUUUACAGAGAUUACAGAGGAUACAAGUAGCGGAAGAACAACAACUACAACACAAAAACAACAACUACAACACAACAACGAAGAACAGAGUGCAAAACACGACUACUAUACCUAAUGCCGAAACCGGGUCAGUCAUAUUUUAAUUGAUGAAACAAGAUAUUUUAACGAUCUUUGACAUCUACAUCAAUUUUUCGAUGAACGAAAUUAAACUCGUGUUAACUACAUAACAUCAUUAAGUUGAGGAUAUUGUCAUGCAUAACAUAUUUUUCGCAUAGUUAGGUAUAUGUUAGAUUAUUUUGCCUGGUUAACUAUACGAUGGCCAAUACUUCAUGUAGUCUUCAAUCAUUUUUUCAUAACGUAAUAGUCAUUUUACCAGUUUGGCGACCACCACCGCUCACGCUUUUUAUUGCAUUGUUAAAAUUCGAGUGAAACAAAGGAAGAUAGAGUAGUAUAGAAACGAAUAGGAGUGUUCCGAGGAUCAAACUCGUGACCUGGGACCUCUCGCACUCUGAAAUGAAAAUCAUACCAGUAGAAGUCUAGAACAAACACUGAAACACACAGUUGCUAGAAAUUUAUUAAAUUAAUUUAACCAGACUAUAGGCUUGUGUGGUUUAUGUGGAUGAUUGCGUAAUCUUAUAUGCUUAUGCUGCUACUAAAAUUUAGUCAUGUGACAUGUCAGUUUUUUCUGCACUUUUUGGCCAUAAAGGCCUUCAUGCUCUGAAGAAAACAGCGGUAAGAUAAAUCACUAAACCAAAUAAGAGAUGCAAUUUACAAUGCUUUCGCGCGCUCGCCCGAACAUGUGAUGGUUAGUUGGUGACAUUUUUGUUAAACCAAAGUACAUACGCAAAUCAAUCUCACGUACUCAAUACGUUUGAAUUUAUAGACUUUUAUAAAUCUUACUCGAUUUAUAAAUCCUUAUAAAAAGUUACGAAAUAAUUAUGUUUCUUCUUCUCACAGCUUAACGAUUGUGGUUUGAUAGAGGCUUGCCUAAUCAAUCUCCUAAGACAGAAUUUUGCCCCUAUAUUGGUGUGUAUAGUUUUAUAGGCGUCUAUCUUGAGGAUACAACUAUCGAUCUCCGUACAAUACACCCGUACCGAGAUCCUAGCAAACUUUACUUUGAGUUUUCCUUCAGAAACUUAUUAUGGGGAAGAAGAAGAUUAAAUCCAAUUGAUUCUCAUUAAUCUUCUCUCUUCUCUCUUUUAUCCCUUUCUUCUCAUAUUGCAUUUGAUCACUUUAUAUAAUGACUCAAGUGGUGCCUUUAAUCAACGCAUACACUAAUUCAAGCGGUGCCUUUUAAUCAACAUAUAUGUUGAUUCAUAACCGACACGUUUUGUCUGAAGUAUUGCUUCCUUUAACUAAUUAAAGUCUAACAAUACCCCACAUUUUCUAUUCAAACUCAACAAUACCCCACAUUUGAAUAAAAAAUAAGUUUAAAUAAUUCCGAGGAAAUAGAAUCAAUAUGCAUCGGAAAAUGUGUAUUUUGGACUUGAACCUUUCCUAGUAACAACUUAUCGGAUUUACUUUGUGGGUAGUGAACUAUAGUCUUGAAUUAACCACAUUUUAUAGUAAACCUAGACAAUAAGUGAAACACAUAUCUCAUCAACUCAUUUCUAGUUUAUACGGUUGUGUUCAUUUUGGUCAUGAACAUAUUCUGACUUCAGGAGAGUUCUAGAGAAUUUAGCCAUAUCAAUUCUCAUAGGUGCGACCCGACACCACUUCCAUAUAGGUAACGUUAGUUAAAGAUAGUCCAUUCUAUCUCUCUUCUACAAAAGAUACUAACAUUAUUAAGAAUAAAUUAUUCAACCCUUAAUCAUCAAUGGAUACACAUUAUUAUUUCAUAGGAAUGAGAAAUGUGUAAAACGUCUUGAGUCUUCCUCCACUAGUUUGCCUAUUGAACCUAGACCAUGGGAUCUCCAAUGUUGCUAGGUUAGGUUUCCAUCAAGUGAUGAUUCAUUGUGUUGGCUUGAGACUCAUUCCCCUCGAGAUGAAUACAACUUGCUUUUUAGAUAGGCUUUUGGUCAAAGUAUCAACCAAGUUAUCCUUUGAUCUAAUGUAAUCCAAUGCUAUCACCCCAUUGGAAAGCAAUUGUCAUGCAUGUCUACGUCUAUACGUCUUGACUUGCCAUUGUAAAUUUUUUUUUCUCUUCUCGGUUUCCCAUAUGAGAUUGAGUAAGUGAAUCACGUACCAUCUGACUCUUGUUUCACUCUGAUUCCAAGAAUUAUAACAGUCAAUCCCAUAUCUUUCAUGAGCAAUAACUUAGAAUAUCUUCCACUUGUUUUACCACAAAAACAAUGUCACUAAUCUUAAAGUUUAAGAACUUUCCCACGAUGAAUGUCUUAACGCUUGCAACUUCUAAAUUAUAUUUCUUCUCUAAUGAUUCCCACAACUGUUUUGAAGUUUGGAAUAUAUGACAAACAUCAUAGAGAAAAAACGUUCAAGGCGUUAAGAAUAUAAUUCUUGCACAAAAACUCGUUUUGUGUCCAUGCCUCUGAAGCUUUAAUGACUUCACCAGAAAUAUCACAUUCUACGGGUAAUUUUGUUCCCUUAGAAGUCAAGCACUCUGCCAGAUUCAAUGUCGUGCAAUAAUACAACAUCAUUUGUUGUCAUCUUUUGAAAUCCUCUUCUCGGAAUACAAAAGGCUUCUCUAUAUGACUUUUCAAAAUUGCAAUAGAUUGAUCCAUCUUGCUUUCUUUGUAAAGAACAAAGGAAAAUUCUGUCUUAGAUUGUUAAACCAAAGUACAGAUGCAAAUCAAUCUCACGUACUCAAUACGUUUGAGUUUAUAGACUUUUAUAAAUCUUACUCGAUUUAUAAACCCUUAUAAAAAGUUACGAAAUAAUUAUGUUUCUUCUUCUCACAACUUAACGAUUGUGCUUUGAUAGAGGCUUGCCUAAGCAAUCUCCUAAGACAGAAUUUCGCCCAUACAAUGGUGUGUGUAGUUUUAUAGGCGUCUAUCUUGAGGAUACAACUAUCGAUCUCCGUACAACACACCCGUACCGAGACCUAGGCCUGGGCGUUUGGGUCUUCGGGUCGGGUUCGGGCCGGUUCUUUUCGGGUCCGGGUCUUUUCGGGUCCUAAAUAUUUAGACCCAAUAGGUAUUUAGAAAUUUUCGGUUCGGGUUCGGGUCGGUUCUUCUCGGGUCCGGAUCGGUUCGGGUCUAUAAUUAAAAUACCCAUAAAAUACCCGUAAUUUUUCGGGUCCAUAUCGGGUCCAGGUCAGGGUAUUUAAGAUCUGAAAAGGACAUGAUAUACCCAAUUUCAUCAACUUUAGUUGAAUAUUUGUCAUAUAUAUCUAAAAUUUUACAAAACAACUUAAAUGAAACUAUUAAUAAUUAAUAUAAAACAUUUUAAAACUCUAAAUUUUACAUUUUAAAGCUUUAUAUUACUUAAAAAAUGUUAAAAAAUAAUAACAAAUGUUGUUCACAAAAGAUAUUUCAACUAAAUCAUAAAAUAAUAUAUAUAUAUAAAAUAGAACACAAAAACAUCAUAGUUUUAGAUAUACAUGUUUUUAAGUCGGGUACAAAUCGGGUCUAUUCGGGUCAGUUCUUUUUGGGUCCGGGUCUAUUCGGGUCGGUUCCUUUUUGGUUCCGGUUCUUUCGGGUAAAAAAAAUUUAGACCCAAAAAAUACUUGUAAAUUUUCGAUCCGGUUCCGGAUCGGAUAUUUUUGGGUCGGUUCUGGUUCGGGUCUUCGGAUCCAAGUUAAAAUGUCCAGGCCUACCGAGACCCUAGCAAACUUUACUUUGAGUUUUCCUUCAGAAACUUAUUACGGGGAAGAAGAAGAUUAAAUCCAAUUGAUUCUCAAUAAUCUUCUCUCUUCUCUCUUUUAUCUCUUUCUUCUCAUAUUACAUUUGAUCACUUUAUAUAAUGAUUCAAGUGAUACUUUUAAUCAACGCAUACGCUAAUUCAAGCGGUGCCUUUUAAUCAACGUAUAUGUUGAUUCAUAAUCGACACGUUUUGUCUGAAGCAUUGCUUCCUUUAACUAAUUAAAGUCCAACAAUUUUCAAUUCUUGAUUUGAAGAGAAACAACUAAAAUGUUCUUUUGUUUGUUUCGGUCCCAUGUUCGGAUUCUUCUUUUUGGGCCUUCCACCGACGGUCGAGUAGGCACCUACUUACCUAAAAGCCUGAUGUUAUAUUAAAUAUUUCUUCAAUAAAAUCAACAGAUCACAAAAUGAUAUCGUUUUCCUUCAUUUGUUAUAGUUGAAAAGUGGCAGAUUUCACAGAGAAACAUAUUUACAAAGGGGAGUAUCAUUUACCUGGUUUUUAAAAAACUUAAAAGGCAAGAGUGACGGCUCUUGGAUUCUCAACACUCCAGGCCUUCUCCUACAAUUCAAUGUUCAUCGAAACAAUCACCAGCGAUAUCCAGUAUAAAGAAAUCAUCAGAAUCGUCUCCGAUAUCCGAUCGAUCUCCUCUGGUUUUCCAUGUAUCUCUUUCUCUCAUCUCUCUAGAUUGAAAAACUUUUCGGCCGAUAAUUUAGCUAAACAGGCCUUACAGGGCUUCUCUCCUUUGUACUGAACUCGUUGAGUUGGAUCAUCAUUUUGGGUAUUUCUCUCUUUUUUCUCUUUUUAAUGAAUUUCUGUUACCAAAAAAAAAAGACAAGUGUCAUAGACUCAUAAGAGAGGCUCGUCGGUCGUCAUAAGAGAGAGACUCCUUAACACCAACGAAUUUUAUGACUUGACAAAAUAUACACAUUUUUUAUACAGAUUCAGUAACCAAAAACUAUAGAUUUACAAACUAAUUUUAUACUAAUUUACGCACGUUUCAGGAACCGGACUGUACCAUAUAUUCUGGGGACGACUGCCUAUUCCCCCUUUAAACAUUACAACCCUAUCUAUUCCCACCCAUACUAUUAACUUCUUGAAAAACCCACCUAUAGAUAUGAAUUCUCUUCACAUCUCCCCCUAAUCUAUUUAGUUCUGCCCAAAUCCCCCUCUCUAAUCUAAUUUCGAAAUUGAAAUAAAAGAUAGAUUAAUUGCGUUUAGGAAAUAGCGAUUGCCCAUUAAAUGAAUCCUCACCCGACCCAUUAACAUCCAACCGAAUCAAUUAAAAUUGAAAUCAAUUUGAGUGUAAAAAAAGUUAGGUUUUUGUCUUUCUCUUUCUCUUUCGUCAUGAUACAUAGACAACUACGAAGAACAAAGAGAGAGAGAACAUAAGAGAGAGUGACCAAGAACAGAGAGAGAGAAAAAAACGAAUAACAGAGAGAGAGAAGAAGAACAAAGACAGUGACGAAGAACUUUUCCAUCAAAUCAUGACUAGCUCAGCCUUUUCUCUGUUGCCACAGAGGAGACAAUGGAAGGCAUACCAACACAACGCUGGUGUGGUAAGAAUGUGGCCGUCUUGGUCUCACGGACCAAAAAAAAAUCCGUAUGGAAGGUUUUAGUUACAGGUUUUUGGUUAUAUGUAAUGACAUUCUUGUAUGUUGUGUUUGGAACAUGUCUUUAGACUUAUGUAAUGAAUUAUGUUCCUUUCUCUUAUGUGUUUGGAAAAUGUAUUUCUCGUUGAACCUGAAUAUGAGUUUGGACAAAAUCACAAGUUUUACAUUAAAAAUCGAACAAGUCUUACAUAAAAAAAAAACAGAACAAGUCUCACAAGUCGUCAUCAUCUUUCCUCUUUAUUUCAAGUUGUGUCUCAGCGGUUUCAAUUCCGUUUGCCUCAUCUCUGUCAUUAUAAAUAACCCACCAAACAAAAAGAAAACAAAGAGUUUGAAGUAAAGAUGAUCUUACAAGCUUACCUAGCAACAAGAUAUAGUGUUGAACAAAAAAGAAAGAAAAAAAAGAAAGCAACAAGAUAUAUUCGACGCUCCUCUGUAGUCUGGUUCAAGCUUCUCCAAACCAGACAUUAAGCUCUCUCUGUGCGUGGUUGAAGCUCCUCUGUUUCUUCUCUCUAUCACUCUCACGUCUCCAUCUCUGUUUCUUCUCUCUCUCUCUCUCUCUCAGACUUUCUCGUCUCCAUCUCUGUCUCUUCUCUCUUUCUCAGUCUCUCUCGUCUCCAUCUCUGUCUCUUCUCUCUUUCUCAGACUCUCUAUGUCAGACUCUCUCGUCUCCAUCUCUGUUUUUUCUGUCUCUCUCUCUCUUUCAGACUCUGUUUCUUCUCUCUCUCUCUUUCUCUCUCUCCAAGACUCCGUCCUCUCCAUCUUCGUUUCUUGUAUCUGUGUCGAACGCAAAGAGGAAAGCAAAAUCCCCAAAUCAAUUUUGUUUUAAGAAGCCAGGUCUCCGGUCCGGUUGCAAAACGCAGUUAACGUAACUCGAGUUACAAUCGCCUUUUAGAGCUUAAACAUUGAUUUCAAAUUUUCGAUUUCAGAGGUUUAAUUGAGCAGAGUUAAAAUGAUUGGGGGUUAAUAUGAAGAGAUUUAUAUGUACAGGGGGAUUAGUAAAGAGCUCAGAGCAUGAUUAACCCAACAACCCUAUUAAGAUCUCUUAGUGAAUUUUUUAAUAAUAAAUGUAAUUAAGUUAAAAAUUUAAUUAAGAGACAUUAUCAUUUUUAUCCUCAAAUGCUAGUCUCUCGAUAAGAGUUCUUAAAAAAAUUGCAUCAUCUCCUCUAUUAGUUCAUAAUCACAAACCAACAGAAAACUAAAGCCAACAUUAUGAAAUUAGUAAUGAAACCGUUUCUAUAACAUUGAAUUAACACAGGACACAGGAAAGGCUUUUCUUCCUCUAUCAACAAGCAGCAAAGCUCUUCCCCCACCAGCAGCAGAAGCAGCUACAACCACCACCGUGGAUGAAAAAGAACCUGAGCCAGCAAUCAAAGCCGCCACUGUACAAGUAACCAUAGAUCCAGCGACCGAAACUGCUACGGAACAAGUAAUCACAGAACCAACAAAAACAGAAGCCAAACCGAAACCUUAUCCAAGACCAUUAUCUCCAUAUGCAUCGUACCCAUACUUGAAGCCUCCAACAUCUCCCACACCAGUAAGCAGCAAAGGUCUUCCCGCACCAGCACCAGUAGCAGCAGAAGCAGCUACAACCACCAUCGUCGAUGAACCAGAACCUGAGCUAGAGCCAGCAAUCAAAGCGGCCACUGCACAAGUAAACUCAGAGCCAGCGGCCAAAGCCGCCACUGAACAAG
Long non-coding RNA from Brassica napus (rape), 11226 nucleotides. RefSeq lists it as uncharacterized. The transcript has 2 exons. The record is from RefSeq and is a predicted model, not a curated record. NCBI's taxonomy places the organism in Eukaryota, Viridiplantae, Streptophyta, Magnoliopsida, Brassicales, Brassicaceae.